CUUUUAGGGCUUUUAGAGCCAGACUGGUAUCUUCAAAUAGUGCUGAUCUCUAAUUUUAUCCCAUACUAACAAUAAAGCAUUUCUUAUAUAAUGUCUUUGAAAGUAACCAUGUAUCUUACUUUUCCCAUACCAUAAGAAGACAUGCCAUCCCAGUUGCAGAUCAUGUCCCGCAAGGUCAAUAGUCUUGUGUUUCUCAGCUCAAUCCACUUUUCCAUCCAUGUUAACACCGCAGCCUGAUAAUAUAAUUCCCAGUUUGGUAGACCAAAAUCACCUC
Non-coding RNA from Notechis scutatus (mainland tiger snake), 274 nucleotides. The record is from RefSeq and is a predicted model, not a curated record. NCBI's taxonomy places the organism in Eukaryota, Metazoa, Chordata, Lepidosauria, Squamata, Elapidae.